RNAcentral lists this ribosomal RNA (372 nucleotides) under uncultured organism. Its description in RNAcentral is "bacterial SSU rRNA". It matches the Rfam family "Bacterial small subunit ribosomal RNA", at positions 526 to 896 of the family's 1533-position model. The record is from RNAcentral.
CAGAGGUCCCGAGCGUUGUUCGGAUUCACUGGGCGUAAAGGGUGCGUAGGUGGCAUGGUAAGUUUGAUGUGAAAGCUCAGGGCUCAACCCUGAAAUGGCAUUGAAUACUACUGUGCUGGAGGUUUGGAGGGGGGACUGGAAUUCUCGGUGUAGCAGUGAAAUGCGUAGAUAUCGAGAGGAACACCAGUGGCGAAGGCGAGUCCCUGGACAACACCUGACACUGAGGCACGAAAGCUAGGGGAGCAAACAGGAUUAGAUACCCUGGUAGUCCUAGCCCUAAACGGUGCGCAUUUGCUGUAAGAGGAAUCGACCCCUUUUGUGGCGAAGCUAACGCGAUAAAUGCGCCGCCUGGGGAGUACGGUCGCAAGAUUA